Monodelphis domestica (gray short-tailed opossum) is the source of this 5986-nucleotide non-coding RNA. Lineage: Eukaryota; Metazoa; Chordata; Mammalia; Didelphimorphia; Didelphidae. The record is from RefSeq and is a predicted model, not a curated record.
CGGAGCGCAUGCGCGACGAUUCCCUUCUAACUACUACCUUCCCCUGUCCCGGCAGCCGCAGCCGCUGCCGCCAAGGAGUCGGGAAGUUCAAAAUGGCCGCCGUCGAGUCUCAGCCGCCGCGGGAAGCGCCUGAAAUGGAAGAUGCAGAUAAUUCUGAAAAGAGCAUAAAUGAAGAAAAUGGAGAAGUGUCGGAGGAGGACCCAUCUCAAAAUAAGCACAGUCGACACAAAAAAAAGAAGCACAAACAUAGAAACAAACACAAGAAACAUAAACAUUCUUCAGAAGAUGACAAGGACAAAAAACAUAAACAUAAGCAUAAACAUAAGAAACAUAAACGAAAAGAGGUUAUUGAUGCCUCUGACAAAGAAGGGGCAUCUCCAGCAAAAAGAACUAAAAUUGAUGACUUAGCUUUGCUGGAAGAUUUGGAAAAACAGAGAGCUUUAAUUAAAGCUGAACUUGAUAAUGAGUUGAUGGAAGGAAAAGUCCAGUCUGGAAUGGGGCUAAUAUUACAGGGUUAUGAGUCAGGCUCCGAAGAAGAGGGAGAAAUACAUGAGAAGGCGAGAAAUGGGAAUAGAUCAACUGCUAGGUCAUCAAACACUAAGGGAAAACUUGAACUCGUAGACAAUAAAAAUAGUUCAAAGAAACGAAGCAAAAGCAGAUCAAAAGAACGGACUAGACAUAGAUCUGAUAAAAAGAAAAGCAAGGGAAGCAUUGAAGGAGUUAAAGAAAAAACAACCAGAAGUAAGUCUAAGGAAAGAAAAAAGUCCAAGAGUCCAUCUAAAAGAAGCAAAUCUCAAGAUCAAGCAAGAAAAUCAAAAUCCCCAGCACUUAAAAGGCGAUCUCAGGAGAAAAUUGGAAAGGCCAAAUCCCCUACUGAGGAUAAGAUUAAAUUAGAAGAUAAAAGUAAAUCAAAAGAUAGAAAGAAAUCUCCAAUUAUAAAUGAAAGCAAAAGUCGUGAUCGUGGGAAAAAAUCCAAAUCUCCAAUAGAACUAAGAAGCAAAUCCAAAGACAGAAGGUCAAGAUCCAAAGAUAGAAAAUCCAAAAGAUCUGAGAUUGACAAAGAAAAGAAGCCAAUUAAAUCUCCCUCUAAAGAUGCUUCCUCUGGAAAAGAAAAUAGGUCCCCAAGUAGAAGACCAGGUCGUAGUCCUAAAGGAAAAAGUUUAUCUCCAAAACAGCGUGAUAAAUCCAGAAGGAGUAGGUCCCCUCUACUUAAUGAUCGGAGAUCCAAGCAAAGUAAAUCACCAUCUCGGACUCUGUCUCCUGGUAGAAGAGCUAAGAGUCGAUCAGUGGAAAGAAAACGAAGAGAACCAGAAAGGAGAAGACUUUCUUCUCCAAGAACACGUCCUAGGGAUGAUAUUCUUAGCAGACGUGAGAGAUCAAAAGAUGUCAGUCCUAUUAGUAGAUGGUCCCCAACCAGAAGAAGAUCAAGUAGGUCUCCUAUCCGCAGGAGAUCUCGUUCACCACUCAGACGAAGCCGGUCUCCAAGGAGAAGAAGCAGGUCCCCAAGAAGAAGAGAUAGAGGUAGGCGGAGUAGAUCUCGACUUCGACGUCGGUCUCGAUCAAGGGGUGGUCGUAGGCGCAGAAGCAGAAGCAAAGUAAAGGAAGAUAAAUUUAAAGGAAGCCUUUCUGAAGGAAUGAAAGUUGAACAGGAAUCAUCAUCUGAUGAUAACCUAGAAGACUUUGAUGUUGAAGAAGAAGAUGAAGAAGCCCUAAUAGAGCAGAGAAGAAUCCAAAGGCAGGCAAUUGUUCAGAAAUACAAAUACCUUGCUGAGGAUAGCAAUAUGUCUAUGCCAUCUGAGCCAAGCAGCCCUCAGAGUAGCACUCGAACACGUUCACCAUCUCCUGAUGACAUUUUAGAACGGGUUGCUGCUGAUGUUAAAGAAUAUGAAAGGGAAAAUGUUGAUACAUUUGAGGCUUCUGUAAAAGCCAAGCACAAUCUUAUGACAGUUGAACAAAAUAAUGGUUCUACUCAGAAGAAACUAUUGGCACCUGACAUGUUCACAGAAUCAGAUGAUAUGUUUGCUGCAUAUUUUGAUAGUGCUCGUCUUCGGGCUGCUGGCAUUGGAAAAGAUUUCAAAGAAAAUCCCAACCUCAGGGAUAAUUGGACUGAUGCAGAAGGCUAUUACCGUGUUAACAUAGGUGAAGUCCUAGACAAACGUUACAAUGUGUAUGGCUACACUGGACAGGGUGUCUUCAGUAAUGUAGUGAGAGCCAGAGAUAUGGCAAGAGCAAACCAGGAAGUGGCAGUGAAAAUCAUCAGGAACAAUGAGCUUAUGCAAAAAACGGGGUUAAAAGAACUGGAAUUUUUGAAAAAGCUUAAUGAUGCUGAUCCUGAUGACAAAUUUCAUUGUUUACGGCUCUUCCGACACUUUUACCAUAAACAACAUCUCUGCCUUGUGUUUGAGCCUCUAAGUAUGAAUUUACGAGAGGUAUUGAAAAAGUAUGGAAAGGAUGUCGGUCUCCAUAUUAAGGCUGUAAGAUCCUAUAGUCAGCAGUUGUUCUUGGCAUUGAAACUUCUUAAAAGGUGCAACAUUCUACAUGCUGAUAUCAAGCCAGACAAUAUCUUGGUUAAUGAAUCAAAAACUAUUCUAAAGCUUUGUGAUUUUGGAUCAGCUUCACAUGUUGCAGAUAAUGACAUUACACCCUAUCUCGUCAGUAGAUUUUAUCGUGCUCCUGAAAUUAUUAUAGGAAAAAGCUAUGACUAUGGUAUAGAUAUGUGGUCUGUAGGCUGCACAUUAUAUGAACUUUAUACUGGAAAAAUAUUAUUUCCUGGUAAAACCAAUAAUCAUAUGUUGAAACUUGCUAUGGACCUCAAAGGGAAAAUGCCAAAUAAGAUGAUAAGAAAAGGUGUGUUCAAAGAUCAGCACUUUGAUCAAAAUCUCAACUUCAUGUACAUAGAAGUAGAUAAAGUAACAGAAAGGGAGAAAGUUACUGUCAUGAGCACCAUUAAUCCUACCAAGGACCUCUUGGCUGAUUUGAUUGGGUGCCAGAGACUUCCUGAAGACCAACGCAAAAAAGUACACCAGCUAAAGGACUUGUUGGACCAGAUCUUAAUGUUGGACCCAGCUAAACGAAUUAGCAUCAACCAGGCUCUACAGCAUGCCUUCAUCCAGGAAAAAAUUUAAAUGAGAUGAAGAAGCUCAAAGGGUUUGAGUAAUUAAAAUACAAAGACUGAAGAAAUUUCACAGCAGUUUAUUAAUGUAUAUAAACUUAUAAAUAUUUCCCCUGCAAAUUGAGGAAGCAUGAUAUAUUUGAAUUAACACCAAGGCUGAUAUUUCUUUUAGAAAUGUUAGAGUAAAGUAAAUCUGUUUGUGUCUUAUGUGAAAAUUUUCACUGUAGAACUGUUUUAAUUGCUGAGACUGCACACAAGUACAGUGCUAAUGUAAAUUGUUGCAGUUCACAUCAAAAGGAAAAAAUAUCUGUUAUAAAAUGAACAGUAAUACUGGGUGGAUGAUUGGUUUUUUAGCAGACUUGGCUUCAUUUUUGUCUUAAAAGAAAAAAAAAAGGCCAGCAUAAAUGCUGUUUAUAUUCACGUUUUCCUAGGUGUGUGUGUGCAGGCCACAGCAGCAUGCCCUUGGUGUAGUCAGUGCCGAAAGGGGUCUGUUCCUUCUUGAGCCUGCCUGCAGGGAUGGUCUCCUCUUUUAAAGCAGGUUGUGUACAACUUUCAGUACACUGAAGGUAAGCUAAACCAUCAACAUCACUGGUGUUUUAAGAUGUUAUUUUACUGGAACAACUGGCAAAUAAGGGACAAUAGCUUUGUGGCAGAAUUCCCUGCAUGUUCAAUAACUGAUCUUGUUUUAUUUUUUGGCAUUGCAACUGUGGCAUAGUUACAACUUCUGUUCUGUUCAUCACAUUUAAAAUUUGGAGAGUGCGCGCUUGAUGGGUAAAGCGCCUUCAGUGUACUGUUUCUUAUUACUUUAAUUUUUUAAAUCAACUUGCUAUAGACUUUGUAUACAUUUUGUUAAAUACAGUUCCCAAUGACAUAGAACCAAUACUUACAGUUUUCAUUUACUAAUUAUAAAUGUUGGGGUCUAAUUCUGAAAAGUCCUCAUUUAAAAGUUAGAUAGACAACAUAAUGAAAUUUUUAACUAUUUGUAUGUCAUUUUGAAAGUGUACUGCUUUAUGGUAAAAGUGUUUCAUUUGUUCAUUGUUUUCAUUAUUUGUGAUCAUGUUGUCUUUCAAUACAGGCAUAAACCUUCCACUCUUGAACAAAGCAGCUGCUUUUUAAAAGCGAAAAAAAGAAAGCGGGGCACAGGCCAUUCAACGCCUUCUCCAGGGGGCCUGAUUUGCUGAGACACCAACUUCACCUUCUUAACAAGGUGCAGUUCAAGGAAGAUGACGACAACCAGAAGACAUGAGCUAAGGGUAAGUGACUGUUCUUCUGAAGAACCUUUUGCAUUUAAAUGAUCAAGAUAUGGGAGCCUGUACUCUGCAAUAUUGAAGAUACAUCCUAACUAUUUCAUGACAUAUUGAACUGGAAUAAGCAUUAAGGGGCACAUUUUCUUGGCCUAGUUACUGAUCACUUAACUAAAUGUCCCUCUUUACUACUCUGUAGUCUCUCUCUUUUCUCCUUUAUUUGAGUUUGGUAUUGUGUACUCCUUCACUUUAGAAGAAUGAUUUUUAAAAACAUUUCCAAACUAAGUGCAAGAUACUGUUUUAAGUAUUUGUUGUUUCAUUCCUUUUGAUAGGUAUUAACAAUAGUUGUUUCUCAUAGUAGCAAAACCAUAUGCUGUAACCUUAAAUUUAUUCACUAAUAAAAUGUUUAGGUGUUUAAAUAUUGCUGUUUAGCCUUUACUACCUCCAAAAUAACUUCAAAAGAUAUACAAUCUUUUUUUUUUUUACCUCAGAUCAUUAUUAUCUUAAAUCGAGAAAAAUAACAGUAAUGUAUAAUUCUUCUACUAAAGGAAGGGAAAUAAGAUUGAUUUCAGCACACUUGACUUUUUUAGCUAAUUUUUAUUUUGGGGUUGGAUGGGUUAGUUUCUUUCCUGAAUGAUCUAUAGUAUAGGAGUGCUAGGGAAAAAAGCAAUAACAUUAAUUUAUUCCUUUAGAAAUGGGUUGCUUACUGCCAUGCUUGCUCAAAAAACCCAUUAUAUGAAGGUUUGGGGAUUGGAAAGGGCACUUAAUUCAUAUAGUCCAUUUCCUACCGUCCACACCCCAGAACUGGAAUGAACCAAUUUCUUGUAAAAGUUAUUGAGAAUUUUAUAAUGCCUUCUUGACCAAAGUCAUAAUUCACUACCCCUUAACUUAUAUUUGUUGUUUUCUGAAUAUUUUAAUGUAGUAAGCUACUGUAAACUACAUUGCUGCCAUAUUACUACUGUACUAUAUCACUUGCCAUAAAUAUUUGUAGACAUUUAAUCAUAUAUAUUUUAUAUCCUAGAAGUUUUAAAGUUAAAGUCCUAAGAAGUCUACUUUGAAAGGAUAGGUUUCUUAUUUUUCUAGUUGUUUGCAUGCUACUGUAUAGAAUGAAAAAAACAACUGCUUAAAUACAAUAAGAUGUAAGGCAAGUAGUAUAGAAUAUCAGAUUGGAAUAUGGAUAAAAUUAUCCCAAGUUUUAUAAGGACCCUUAAGUGAAUACACUCCAAUUAGAGCAUCCCAAAGCAUAUUUAGUCUUGUAUUUUGAAAUUAUCUGGUCUACAUUUUCUAGAUUUUGAUUCACCUUUGUGCUUAUUUGCUCUAUAUCUAACCAGAUGAUGGGCCUAUGGGAGCUCACAAUGAAAAAAUAUUUAAAUAUACUUGCAUUGGAAGCAAUCGGCUUUUAAGCAAGGAUAAUUUGAAUUUUUUUUUUUGGUCAUUUAACAAAAUUUUGUAUUUGCAAGGAAGAUUAUCAACAGGAAAGCAUAAGUGAACUCUUUAAAAUUGAAGGACAUGAAACAUAAGCUCUUUGGAACCAAACAGUACAAAUAUGACAUUUCUGCUUAUAUCAGUUUGAAUUGUGUAACAUGGUAGUUUCUGAAUCUAACUCUAAAUAAAUAUGCGUCUCCCUGAA